UCUGCAGACACUCAGGGGAAACCGGGUGUUUGAGAAACUGUUGUGACGUCAGUUACAUGGACUGGAAUGUUCUUAAAGAUGGAGACAGGGAUUCAGAAGGAGAAACGCCAGGGGGAGAUGAGGCGGCUCCUCAUCUCAACGACUGAAACACGACUUCAGUCUGACACAGAACCAUGGAACACAUUCAACAGUCCCCUCCAGGCAUCGUGACUCCUCAGGAACAGUUUCAUUUCCAAGAAGGUCUUAUUUGGGGCCAUCCCCAUAUGGAUCCUGCUCCUCAAGAGCCACCCCCUCCACUGGGUGGUCUUCUGAACAGAUGACCUCCUUCCUGUUCUCAGGCUGACUAAAGCUGCACCAUUUGCAUCUGUGAAGGCCCCUCAUUCAGGAAACCACUGGACUACAAAGACAUGACUUCAGAGACGUUGAAUCAACCUGGGACACAUUUUGGAGACGCCAAGCAUAAUCCAUCACCAAUGUGGGACGCCACUGAAGAAUGUUGUACAUAAUUUACGUCUCUGGAGAUAUUGGUUGUUCUGUUAUGGGUGCCCUGGCAGGAGAGCUGGGGGGGGGGGGGGUGAUGGAAUGUUAUUUGGCAUGAGGUUUUUACCCUGCGUGUGUGCGUGUGUGCGUGUGCGUGUGUGUGAGCAUCGCUAGGGUUCUACUGUGUGUGUGUCCCACUCACACCUGGCAUGGGGUUCUAUGUGCCUGUCCUGGGUUCUAAGUGUGUGUGUCCGGCUUGCUUUGACAGUGAUAAUGUUCAUACGGGGGUCUGUGUGAUUGGCUUGGGAUAUUGGAAUGGUCAUCUAAAUCAUACCUGAUGGACGGCCACACGUUUACUUAAGGGCCUCCAGUAGACAUGAAGAGAUCUGAGCCACGCUCCGGAGCGAGAUCCAACACACUGGGAAGGAAGGAGAGUAUCCAACUCAAGUGUAAAAGGAUGCAAGCGGCGUGUUCAGAUCAGUGACUUCAAACUAGGACUACACCAAUCAGGAUCAAUGGAGGAUGGACACCAAAAGGAAUUCCACAAGGAGAGCCUGACGUUGGAAAGGGACCUCAAUGGAUAUUCAAGACGACCUUCAGACCUGUAAUGAGACGGCUCUUCCUACCUGGCUGGAUUGAUGGAGAGCCCUGUGGAUCUUGUCUUGCUCUCAGUUGCACGUCUUCUCAGGCUGAACUGUAUUUGUUUCGGACAGGACUAGCUGGACGAUUGGUUCCCUUAAAUCAGAACCAAUCCGGGUACUCCAGCUAGUGUGCUCUUCGAGCUGAAGUUGUGCUCUUCAGCUGAGGAGGUAAGGAAACCUUCACUGGGGCUUCAAGGUGUAAAGUGGAGAAUGUUUUAAAGUGUUCCAUGGUACUCUGUUGAAGACUAUUGUUGUGUUCCACUGGCUGAGAGGAAGAACCCUCACAUCUUCCUCUUGGCCUUUCUCCUCUGAGAAUCCUGGCACCAUCUUGAAGGCUAUUCCAGCUCAUGUAACUGAUGUCACGACAGAUUCUCAACCACUUGGUUUCUCCUGAGGGGCGUGUCUAUGGAACUGAAGACUUCAGACAGCACUGUAUCCCAGCAUGCAUCUCUGCUCACUCAGACCACACCCCCAUGAGUAGGAUGCAACACUCUAGUGAUAGCGAUGUAGAGUUUUAUAAGUAACGAGGGAGCAGACUAAGGUGAUUAGAACACAAUGGAAUGUCAAGUCUGUAAAUCUUUAAACCAUGAAGAUGGUUGGAUAGGUCAGGACUCAGGCUUCUUUUUAUUAUGGGCAGUCCUUUCACUCAGAUGCCCACUUCUCACUGGACCUGUACAUGUGUUGGCUGGCUGGCAUUAUUUGCUGUUGGUGAUGAGGCGGUCAGGGUGACGUUGCAGGGCUAUGGUCGGCUCUCUGUGAGCUCAACGUUUAGAUUUGCUCUGUAUGGUUUGUACCCUGAAUAAUCUAGAUAAUUGUAAAAUAUAGACACGGUUUUGUAUUGAAUGAUUCCAGGAUUUUAGGUUUAAGGUUGUUGUGGGACAUACAUGGUAGUUUGGUUCUUCGUAUGGUUUUGAGUGAUAUAACUUGUACACACUGGGUGCAUAAUAAUGUAAAGGUACACUGAAUAGUAGUAAUUACCAACAGCAACAAACAGAUCUCCUCAAGGUAAGUCUGUUGGCUGUGUUUAAAUGAAGACCAUCGCUGGACUUCAGGAUCUUCCUCCGUUCAGCUCAAGGUGAGGCGCUGGUUCUGUUUUUUCGUUGGUUGGUUCCGGCCGGAAUGUUCGGAUUCCAGUCGGACGGUUUGUGCUUCCCGCCGUGGAAGGUUCUGAGUGCGGUCACUUGAUUUUAGUCCCAAUGGUUAGCAUAGAACGUUGUAGUCUUGACAACCUUAAGAAACCACCUAGCAGUUAGUUGGACGGGAGUCCCCUGAGGGAAUCUGGAGGAACGGUUUCCAUUGAGAAUUGUUGCCCCCUAUCUUAAACAACUUAAGUUUGGUAUUAAAUACAUACUGAGACGUACGUCGUACAAUAUGUUGAUAAUUUCCGAUGGUUGCGCCGUACUUUUAACCACGAUGACAUGACGGGACUUUCACUACGUACAAAACAGCGUUCUACUUGCGGGCCCAUUUUUGACAUCAGGGAAGGCUGAAAAUCAUUUCAAGGUGGAAGAUAAUUUGACAUUUCUUCAACGGAACCCAGCACCUGAAUAUGGCUGAGUAUAUUUGAUUUAAUAUUGAUACUGCUUAGUGUUCUUUGUUACUUCAGCUUUUGUACGUUCUAAAUAUCUGCUAUCAUUAAUUGCCACAGAAGUUAAACCAUACCCAAUGGAAUGACAUUAAACCACGACUUUGGUGCAGAGUUACGAACUGGAUAAUAUCAAAGCUAAAAUAAUGGCUGUCAUUCCCACAUGUUACAGUAGAAGAUACUUUCGAACUGUACAAGGUUAAAAAGGUAACAUGUAGUUUGUCCCAAGGUGUCUGCCUCCUCACCCAGAGUAAGACCUCCACCUCCUCAACCAGAGCCAGACCUCCACCUCCUGUCAGAAGUCCUCCAGAACAGCUGAAAGGCGAGGCUGAGAGGCUGGGGACCGGAGGCUUGUGGUGCCAGGGUGGACCGGAGACUGAGGCUGGAGACCAGGGGCCUGCAGCACCGGACCAGAGGACCAGGAAUCCAUGGCUGAAGGAGCUGAUGGAGGAGCCGUGCUGACGGAGCUGAUGGAGGAGCCGUGCUGACGGAGCUGAUGGAGGAGCCGUUCUGAAGGAGCUGAUGGAGGAGUCAUGCUGAAGGCCCUGCAUUGUGGAGGAGCUGGUGGAGGCCCUGCCUGGUGAAGGACGUCUGUCGUGGGACCAGGACUCUGUCUGAGGAGUGCUGCUGGAGGAGCUGAGACGCUGGAGGACGACUAGGAAUCGACCAACAAGGAUUCCUCAAUGUGUUGCUGGUUGGGGAGCCGUGAAUCUGGAGGAUGACCAUCACUCUACCAACAAGGAUUACUUUAGGGCCAGACUCGCGCUGUUUGUUCCAGACCAGGACUCUGGCUGAGGAGAGCUGAUGGAGGAGCCAAGACUCUGGAGGACGACAUCACUCCACCAACCAGGAUCCUCAACAGGAAUCUGGAGGACUGAUGGAGAAGCCGUACAUCUGGAAGGCAAAUCCUGAGGACCACCAGGACUCUACCAUCAAGGAUACAUUCAAGUUUGCAUUAUCUGGACAUAGUGGACUAGACGCACCUGAGCUGAACCUCACCUGAUCCUGUUUGGUCGGGGGUAGACACACCCUGAGCUAAACCCGCCCUGAUCCUGACAUCCGGCUGGUCCCGUCUCCUCAGUUCAUCUGAGCCUCGUCCUCCAGAAGACCUGCUGAGCUCAGCAGUCUGAGGCUGAUGGAUCAAUGACCUCCAGUGGGAGUGAUCUUCUUGACACCACAUGUAACCACACGUAACCGUAACGUCUUUCCCUCACGUCUGUCACUAACCUCACUACUUCACUACUCUCUACUGCUUCCUCUUUUCUUCCUUCUCUGUGGUUCAAACCUUUACACUGAAGGCGCGUCUUCCUGCCCUCAGAGGGUUUAGCGUUAGGGUUGAGAGUCAGGGUUUAGAGUCAGGGACAGAGCUGGUCAGGGAGGACUGCUUUUACACAAACCUCUUCACUUGCUUUCGGAAUGGUGGUGACAUUUUGAAAAGAUUAAUUUGGGAAAAUGUUUUCCUCUGCUUUCCUUUACAAAAUUGUAUUAAACUUCUGUCAAGUGUUUUUGUUUAUAUAUUAAAAUCCCACAUUGACUUCUA
Long non-coding RNA from Gadus macrocephalus (Pacific cod), 4246 nucleotides. RefSeq lists it as uncharacterized. The transcript is spliced from 8 exons. The record is from RefSeq and is a predicted model, not a curated record. Lineage: Eukaryota; Metazoa; Chordata; Actinopteri; Gadiformes; Gadidae.